UAAUAAGUGUUUUAUGGCACUUUUUAAAUCCAUACCCACCUUGUGUGCAAUGUUGGUCGAUCUUCUUUUUUUGAGGAUCGACCAAACAUCAACCUUUAUCUUUUAACUCUUUGUCUGAAAAAUAUUAUGAAUAAACAAUUCAAAAUA
Molecule: unclassified non-coding RNA, 147 nt
Filed under: soil metagenome
Description: partial internal transcribed spacer 1
Source: RNAcentral